UACGUAGGGACCGAGCGUUGUCCGGAUUCAUUGGGCGUAAAGAGCUCGUAGGCGGCUGUUCAAGUCGAACGUGAAAACUCGGAGCUCAACUCCGAGCCUGCGUUCGAUACUGGACGGCUAGAGUCUGGUAGGGGGAUCUGGAAUUCCUGGUGUAGCGGUGGAAUGCGCAGAUAUCAGGAGGAACACCGGUGGCGAAGGCGGGAUCCUGGGCCAGUACUGACGCUGAGGCGCGAAAGCUAGGGGAGCAAACAGG
Molecule: ribosomal RNA, 253 nt
Filed under: uncultured bacterium
Lineage: Bacteria
Description: partial 16S ribosomal RNA
Rfam family: Bacterial small subunit ribosomal RNA
Source: RNAcentral